CAGCAGCCACGGUAAUACGUAGGGUGCAAGCGUUAAUCGGAAUUACUGGGCGUAAAGCGUGCGCAGGCGGUUUGUUAAGACAGAUGUGAAAUCCCCGGGCUCAACCUGGGAACUGCAUUUGUGACUGGCAAGCUAGAGUGUGGCAGAGGGGGGUGGAAUUCCGCGUGUAGCAGUGAAAUGCGUAGAUAUGCGGAGGAACACCGAUGGCGAAGGCAGCCCCCUGGGCCAACACUGACGCUCAUGCACGAAAGCGUGGGGAGCAAACAGGAUUAGAGACCCCUGUAGUCCCUGUCUCUUAUAA
Molecule: ribosomal RNA, 301 nt
Filed under: uncultured bacterium
Lineage: Bacteria
Description: partial 16S ribosomal RNA
Rfam family: Bacterial small subunit ribosomal RNA
Source: RNAcentral